AUUCCUUUUCUCAGACACUAGGUGUCGCUAUAUUUUCUCUCAACAGGAGACUGACACUUCCCGUGACUUCCUCUAAAGUUUCGACUUACUUACUUUCCUUUCAUUGCUUUUGCACACUUCAUGUCAUCAUUCUUGCAUUGAACAACGAUUUUAAACAAAAUUUCUCCCCAAAACUCAACGAUUGGCCUCAGUUUCACAUUCCUGAAAAUCACCGCAUAAUUUUUCUUGGUCUGUUUUUACUGUUCUCACACCUAGGUUAUUACUUUAUAGAACCAUUUGAUAGGCGUGACUGGACUAAAGGUGUGUUCCGUAUGGGGAUUGUCCUGCAGCACUCUGAAACAGCUUUCAUGUAGGUCUGGACUAAGAAGACUAACGAUGAAGGCAGUCUGCUGCUGCAGUGUGUUGCUCCUGCUCGUUCUCACUCCCACCUGCUGUCAUGGUGGCAACGUCUUGGUCUUUCCUACAGAAGGAAGCCACUGGAUAAACAUGGAAAUUAUUCUUAAAGCUCUACACUCCAGGGGACACAAUGUUACUAUUGCACGACCCAGCAAAAC
Long non-coding RNA from Poecilia latipinna (sailfin molly), 554 nucleotides. RefSeq lists it as uncharacterized. The record is from RefSeq and is a predicted model, not a curated record. NCBI's taxonomy places the organism in Eukaryota, Metazoa, Chordata, Actinopteri, Cyprinodontiformes, Poeciliidae. The transcript is spliced from 2 exons.